CAGUCGACGCGUUGGCCCAAUUGAUUGAUGGUGCUUGCACCUGAUUGAUUUUGGUCGCCAACGAGUGGCGGACGGGUGAGUAACACGUAGGUAACCUGCCCAGAAGCGGGGGACAACAUUUGGAAACAGAUGCUAAUACCGCAUAACAACGUUGUUCGCAUGAACAACGCUUAAAAGAUGGCUUCUCGCUAUCACUUCUGGAUGGACCUGCGGUGCAUUAGCUUGUUGGUGGGGUAACGGCCUACCAAGGCGAUGAUGCAUAGCCGAGUUGAGAGACUGAUCGGCCACAAUGGGACUGAGACACGGCCCAUACUCCUACGGGAGGCAGCAGUAGGGAAUCUUCCACAAUGGGCGCAAGCCUGAUGGAGCAACACCGCGUGAGUGAAGAAGGGUUUCGGCUCGUAAAGCUCUGUUGUUAAAGAAGAACACGUAUGAGAGUAACUGUUCAUACGUUGACGGUAUUUAACCAGAAAGUCACGGCUAACUACGUGCCAGCAGCCGCGGUAAUACGUAGGUGGCAAGCGUUAUCCGGAUUUAUUGGGCGUAAAGAGAGUGCAGGCGGUUUUCUAAGUCUGAUGUGAAAGCCUUCGGCUUAACCGGAGAAGUGCAU
This 610-nucleotide ribosomal RNA is filed under the name Lactobacillus sp. JCM 1088. RNAcentral's name for it is "bacterial SSU rRNA". It matches the Rfam family "Bacterial small subunit ribosomal RNA", at positions 1 to 626 of the family's 1533-position model. Lineage: Bacteria; Bacillati; Bacillota; Bacilli; Lactobacillales; Lactobacillaceae. The record is from RNAcentral.